Molecule: ribosomal RNA, 318 nt
Filed under: Triticum aestivum (bread wheat)
Lineage: Eukaryota; Viridiplantae; Streptophyta; Magnoliopsida; Poales; Poaceae
Description: partial small subunit ribosomal RNA
Source: RNAcentral
AUGCAUGCGGCACGAGCUCGGUCGUCAGGACGAGGAGCACAGGGGCACCAUGACAGGACGGAAGGGAUGGAAGAUGAGGCUCACAUGGCCGCCGCCCAUGAUGGGGACGAGGAUGGUGGCGAUGAUGACGGUGGUGCCGAGCAUGACCAGGUAGUGCUGGAACGCGACGACCACCGUGGUGACUGCGGCAAGGGAGAAGAAGCAGGGACGUCAGUCAGAACUCGGAAGGAACCACUGGUGAACCGGCCUAGCUACCGGCUGCGGAUGAGUGAGCGGCGAGGGCACGCACUCCAUGGCGGCGGGCUGGUGAUGCAGUAG